AUGUCGAGUCGCGCGCGAUUUGUGUCGGCAACCUUUUCGUUCAAUUGCUGUUGACGUUUUGAUUUCUGCGUUCAUUGAAUUUCAAUAUCUGUCAGUGGUGAUGCAAAACAGUGUUUACAAUAUUGGCGCAUCUGUUUCUAUGAACGAACGAGAUGAAAUGCCAUCAAUAUGCAAGUUCUCUUGAUAUACCGUCCGGGAAGAGUGCUGAAUUGGUCAAGGAUGCGUAUAAUAUUGGAGAUUGAGCAAGAAGCACAGAAUCCGCUGGAUGUGUUUUUUCCAAGUUAACAGCAAUUGUUGCUGUCUGUUGUUAUCAGCGAGCCGAAAUAAGUAUGUUAGAUAGCCUAAGAUUGGAUAAUUCUGGUCAGAUUUCCCGGGAAACCGUUAUCAUCCCUGAUUCUCGAUUGUACCAUGUGCGAAGGUGCGGUCUGCGAAUAUGUGACCCCUGGGAGAAUUUUUUAUAUUUAGCGUUAGUGUAUACAUAAAUCAUUCUUUAGAAGAAUUGUUGAAAAUUUUUCUGUUUUCUUUAUAUAAUUCUUUUCGGCUGUAUUCUUAUUUCAAUGAUUUUUUUAUGUUUGUAAAUAUUGUUUGCUGGUUUGUGGUAUUACUCCAACGAAAAAUAAAUAUAUACAUCCAU
Toxorhynchites rutilus septentrionalis is the source of this 634-nucleotide long non-coding RNA. RefSeq lists it as uncharacterized. The transcript is spliced from 3 exons. NCBI's taxonomy places the organism in Eukaryota, Metazoa, Arthropoda, Insecta, Diptera, Culicidae. The record is from RefSeq and is a predicted model, not a curated record.